RNAcentral lists this ribosomal RNA (451 nucleotides) under uncultured bacterium. RNAcentral's name for it is "partial 16S ribosomal RNA". It matches the Rfam family "Bacterial small subunit ribosomal RNA", at positions 354 to 796 of the family's 1533-position model. The record is from RNAcentral.
GUGGGGAAUAUUGGACAAUGGGGGGAACCCUGAUCCAGCCAUGCCGCGUGUGUGAAGAAGGCCUUUUGGUUGUAAAGCACUUUAAGCGAGGAGGAGGCUACCGAGAUUAAUACUCUUGGAUAGUGGACGUUAGUCGCAGAAUAAGCACCGGCUAACUCUGUGCCAGCAGCCGCGGUAAUACAGAGGGUGCAAGCGUUAAUCGGAUUUACUGGGCGUAAAGCGCGCGUAGGUGGCCAAUUAGGUCAAAUGGGAAAUCCCCGGGCUUAACUUGGGAAUUGCAUUCGAUACUGGUUGGCUAGAGUAUGGGAGAGGAUGGUAGAAUUCCAGGUGUAGCGGUGAAAUGCGUAGAGAUCUGGAGGAAUACCGAUGGCGAAGGCAGCCAUCUGGCCUAAUACUGACACUGAGGUGCGAAAGCAUGGGGAGCAAACAGGAUUAGAAACCCUAGUAGUCC